GCGGAACAACUCAUGGGGCAGAAUCUUCAAGGAAUGAAGAUUUGAGUCCUUCUACCAGGUUUUGCAGAGUGCCUCCAGAAAUAAAAGUGUUACAAAAGAAUCACUUCAGAAAACCUACACUUAGAGAGUCCAUUUGAAAAUUGCCCUAUUUGAAAUGAAGUGGAGAUCAGUAAUAACAAGGACUUCCCCAUAUAACCCAAGGUCCUACUGGGUUAGUGUGAUCUUCUGCGGAAGGCUGCAGCUGCUGUCAGGAGGCCCUCUGUCUACACUCCUCUCUGGAGAAGUAGAGCAUCAGAGCAGCUCUUCAUGAGGAGGAGCAUCAGAGAAGCUCUUCAUGAGGAGGAGCCUCAUGAAGGUGAAACCUAAAUGAUGAGAAGCCAGCUAUGUAAGAGGAGCAUUUGACACAGAAGGAACCAUAAGUACAAAUGUAAUGAGAUGAGAAAUUUCUUUGGUAUGUUGAAGACAUCAGGACAGGUCCCUUUUAAACUGAAGCAUAGUGAGAACAAGUGUAAAGCACAACACAGACGGAAGAUUGCACCUUAGCUCACUGCCCCGUGCACCCCGGUUACACCGUCUAAGAAAACACUCUGGAUUCAAUCCUUGGAAAAUAUGUGCUGAGCUACCACUUCUGGAAGAGUCUUUCCUGGUUAAUUACUUGAAACCUGUUGCAUUGGGAAUUUCUCAGAAAGUCUGCCUUGAUGAGCUUUACUCAAGAGCCGCAACUUCACGGAUCGGACAACAGAAAAGACUUCGGCAGUUACCAAAUCUGAAGUACUCAUUGUGCAUGCUAGCAAUCUGGGACUAAUAAGGUUAAAUUGUCUGAGACCUCAAGGUGGAAGUGACAGCUCCUGUGAAUGAUGCAUGAAGCCGCUGACAUUGCAACAGAUGGCGCUUUGGAAGAGAUUCCUUUCUGAACUGCCUGGCCCUCUUAUGGAAAUCCUGUGAGGGGUGAUCUCUGGUGACCAGGCUCAGCAGGAAGAGGAAUGUGCAUCCGACCUUGUGCGGAAGUUUGUCUCCAUGAGGUCAUACAGCUGCUUGAGGUUGCUCGGAGAGUAAGAAGCAGAAUGAGAACUAGAACAGAAGCUCACUUUGGCCUGAAGGCUCAUGUGCUGAGCAUCUUCCCUUGUCUGUCUCCACCCCUAGCCUGGUGCCCAGCAUGUAGAAGACCUUCAUCCUAGAUGCAAUGGGAUUAAACUUGGAGAAAAUGGGAUUAAACUUGGACAAACACUACCUAUUUGGACUUGUGAUGAUGGCUUUCAAACUUCUUAAAGCAAUGAAGUAUUUUUUCCAGAAGAAACCUUACACAAGAAGCCCAGCACACUGAGUCAAGCAUAUGUAGGUGGAAGAUAUCUGGUUGAGACCAAGUAGAGAUAAACCUGUAGAUUCAACUGUGCCACCACAGUGAAUUCUAAGAAUCCACUGACUGUGAUCUGUAAGCUCCUACUCCACAGGAGGUCAGGGCACACAGCUUGAAACCGGAAGGCAGAAGAGUGACAGGGAAGGGUCAUGGACUCUGAAAUUAGAGCUAUCUGUGUUUUAAUACUAGUUCCAAUAGGCACAUGGUCUUGGAUAAAUGGUUUAAAU
Homo sapiens (human) is the source of this 1584-nucleotide long non-coding RNA. Ensembl annotates it as long intergenic non-protein coding RNA 2725. Lineage: Eukaryota; Metazoa; Chordata; Mammalia; Primates; Hominidae. The record is from Ensembl.